AUGGACGUCGCGCAGGAAGCGCCCAGUAGAAUACGGACACGUAGGGAACCCGCCACAGGACGGUGGGAGGAAAUGGAUGUCAGGGAUACAGUCUGCGAAACCCCGCCUCGGCGGGGUUUU
This 120-nucleotide small RNA is filed under the name Pseudomonas sp. M47T1. Lineage: Bacteria; Pseudomonadati; Pseudomonadota; Gammaproteobacteria; Pseudomonadales; Pseudomonadaceae. The record is from RNAcentral.